AGGAUAAUAGUUAAAAAUAACAUUUAAUUUGCACUUAAAAGGCAUUGGUAAACCAAUUUAUCUUA
RNAcentral lists this transfer RNA (65 nucleotides) under Paulhutchinsonia pilosicollis. Its description in RNAcentral is "tRNA-Ala". It matches the Rfam family "tRNA". From Rfam's summary of the family: Transfer RNA (tRNA) molecules are approximately 80 nucleotides in length. Their secondary structure includes four short double-helical elements and three loops (D, anti-codon, and T loops). Lineage: Eukaryota; Metazoa; Arthropoda; Insecta; Coleoptera; Cerambycidae. The record is from RNAcentral.